CCUACGGGAGGCAGCAGUGGGGAAUAUUGGACAAUGGGGGCAACCCUGAUCCAGCCAUGCCGCGUGUGUGAAGAAGGCCUUCGGGUUGUAAAGCACUUUCAGAUGUGAGGAAAGGUGAGUAGUUAAUACCUGCUUACUGUGACGUUAACAUCAGAAGAAGGACCGGCUAACUCCGUGCCAGCAGCCGCGGUAAUAC
Molecule: ribosomal RNA, 196 nt
Filed under: uncultured Gammaproteobacteria bacterium
Lineage: Bacteria; Pseudomonadati; Pseudomonadota; Gammaproteobacteria
Description: 16S ribosomal RNA
Rfam family: Bacterial small subunit ribosomal RNA
Source: RNAcentral